GAUGAACGCUAGCGGCAGGCCUAAUACAUGCAAGUCGGACGGGAUUCAGGAGCUUGCUUCUGAUGAGAGUGGCGCACGGGUGCGUAACACGUAUGUAACCUACCUUUAUCAGGGGGAUAGCCUCUCGAAAGAGAGAUUAAGCCCGCAUAAAAUCACAGCACAGCAUUGUGUAAUGAUCAAAUAUUUAUAGGAUAAAGAUGGGCAUGCGGAACAUUAGCUAGAUGGCGGGGUAACGGCCCACCAUGGCGACGAUGUUUAGGGGAUCUGAGAGGAUGGCCCCCCACACUGGUACUGAGACACGGACCAGACUCCUACGGGAGGCAGCAGUAAGGAAUAUUGGUCAAUGGGCGGAAGCCUGAACCAGCCAUGCCGCGUGCAGGAAGACGGCCCUACGGGUCGUAAACUGCUUUUAUACGGGAAGAAACCCAGAUACGUGUAUCUGGCUGAAUGUACUGUAAGAAUAAGGAUCGGCUAACUCCGUG
RNAcentral lists this ribosomal RNA (482 nucleotides) under uncultured bacterium. RNAcentral's name for it is "partial 16S ribosomal RNA". It matches the Rfam family "Bacterial small subunit ribosomal RNA", at positions 28 to 507 of the family's 1533-position model. The record is from RNAcentral.